Solanum dulcamara is the source of this 1050-nucleotide RNA transcript. It is a transcript of the gene named DNA mismatch repair protein MLH3-like, with no coding region annotated. Lineage: Eukaryota; Viridiplantae; Streptophyta; Magnoliopsida; Solanales; Solanaceae. The transcript is spliced from 10 exons. The record is from RefSeq and is a predicted model, not a curated record.
UGUUCUUAUCUUAUAUACUACUUUAUUGGCUUGUUUUCUUGAAUACAGCUAAUAUUCAAUAAUUAUAUGACCAUAUAUAAUCAUGGCGUGUAUAUAUAUUAACACCACCUGCGCAGUUAGAACUCACCACCACCAUCAUAUUUUCCCCUGCUUUCCCCCGCUUAUCAUAUACGCUACCGGCGCAAUCACCAGAUUGCUGUGUUAACUGUUCCGGUGACGAUGUCCGAUCAAAACCCUAAACCCUAAAUCAAUUUUCCCGUCGAUCUAUCUAUUGGGAAAUGGGGAGCAUUAAGCGAAUACCUGAGGCUAUUUGGACAAGGGGUUAUCUUGUUGUUGAGGAGUUGGUUUUCAACAGCCUCGAAGCUGGUGCCAACAAGGUAUCUGUUGCUAUAGGCAUUGGGACCUGCUAUGUUAAGGUGGUUGACAGUGGAUCUAGUGUCUCACGAGAUAGACUGGUGCUGAUGGGAGAAAGAUAUGGUAAUCUUAUUGCAAAAUGAUUGCAUGCAUUACCUCAACUGAUAGGCUGUUUGACGCGACAUCAAAAUACAGCCAUUCAGAUGAUAUGCAUGCUUUCCUAGCAAGCUUUGGAUUUAAAGGAGGGGCUCUGAGCUUUAUUUCUGACGUUUCUUUUUGGAAAUUCCAAAACUCAUGGGAGGCCAAAUAGAUAUCGAUGGCAAGUGUUUGUACCUAGGAAUUGAUGACUGUAUAGAAGAUGUUGGUACAACAGUCAGUUUUUCGUCAUGUAUUUUACAACCAACCUUUUUCGAAGGAAGCAAAUGCAUUCCAAGCAUUUCUAGUUUUCUCAAAAUCAAACAAUCCAAAGAGAGUUUUCUUUUAAGAGUUGCCCUUGCGCAUCCCAGUGUCUCAUUCAAAACUGUUUAUAUUGAAAGGUGAGAACGUCGAACUUUGCGCACGUGCUUCUCCUUCUCCUUGCCAUUAUUGACCAGUGGGUUUGGGAUUCAUCCGAGUUCCCUUAACAAAUUGAAUAAAAACAUUGGUGCAUUCAUGCUUUAAGGAUACAUCUCAGGUCCUGAUGUUUACAUAGUGAAG